AUUGAACGCUGGCGGCAUGCCUUACACAUGCAAGUCGAACGGUAACAGGUCUUCGGAUGCUGACGAGUGGCGAACGGGUGAGUAAUACAUCGGAACGUGCCUAGUAGUGGGGGAUAACUACUCGAAAGAGUGGCUAAUACCGCAUGAGAUCUACGGGUGAAAGCAGGGGAUCGCAAGACCUUGUGCUACUAGAGCGGCCGAUGGCAGAUUAGGUAGUUGGUGGGAUAAAAGCUUACCAAGCCGACGAUCUGUAGCUGGUCUGAGAGGACGAUCAGCCACACUGGGACUGAGAGACGGCCCAGACUCAUACGGGGGGCAGCAGUGGGGAAUUUUGGACAAUGGGCGCAAGCCUGAUCCAGCAAUGCGGCGUGCAGGAUGAAGGCCUUCGGGUUGUAAACUGCUUUUGUACGGAACGAAAAGCCCUGGGUUAAUACCCUGGGGUCAUGACGGUACCGUAAGAAUAAGCACCGGCUAACUACGUGCCAGCCGCCGCCGUAA
This 498-nucleotide ribosomal RNA is filed under the name uncultured bacterium. RNAcentral describes it as "partial 16S ribosomal RNA". It matches the Rfam family "Bacterial small subunit ribosomal RNA", at positions 30 to 523 of the family's 1533-position model. The record is from RNAcentral.